Molecule: long non-coding RNA, 463 nt
Filed under: Volvox carteri
Lineage: Eukaryota; Viridiplantae; Chlorophyta; Chlorophyceae; Chlamydomonadales; Volvocaceae
Description: long non-coding RNA (VCAR_LNC001518)
Source: RNAcentral
UUUGGUAGGCGGGUUGGCGUAUUGCAGGGGUGUAGUAAAGUGUGGUAUGAUAGGGUGUCAUGGUGGCCCGAGGAUAGGUGCGUUCAGCUCCCGGCACGGCGCGACUAUGGUGGCUCUCACGGCUGGAAAGGCGCAUUUCGGCGCCCGGAUGGCGCGGCGCGAUAGGUGCAUUUUGGCGUACGUAUUGAAUUGUAGAUCUAAGAUGGAGCAUCUGAGUCAACGGCCUAGAGACGUACCUGUCUGGUGAUGGCGAAUGCGUGCGUUUGUUUUUGUAGUUGUCGUCGAGGCGGUUGUGCUGUGGAGGGAUGGAUGCAGGUAAGGGAAAGGUCCGUGAGUGCAAAAGUGGUAACAGUUGGGAGAUGAAUGGGGUGGCAGGCCGAAGUUGUACGUGAAGGAAGAGAUGAGUUCGGAGUGGAACUGAACACCCAUAGUUGCAUGGCCGUUGAACGCAUGAGACUUACAC